GCCUGCAGCCACAGUACCUUGGGCAAAGAUCUUAUCAAAUCUCAUGAACUGAGCAAGGAUGGGCCUGUUUAUUACCUCAGUGGAAGACCUCCAAGGAGAACACAGAUGUUGCAAGAA
This 117-nucleotide ribosomal RNA is filed under the name Crocodylus porosus (Australian saltwater crocodile). Lineage: Eukaryota; Metazoa; Chordata; Crocodylia; Crocodylidae. The record is from RNAcentral.